GCAAACUUGGUCAUUUAGAGGAAGUAAAAGUCGUAACAAGGUUUCCGUAGGUGAACCUGCGGAAGGAUCAUUCAUAAUAAAAGUGAAAUUAAUUAAUAUGGCACUUUUAAAACAAUCCAUAUCCACCUUGUGUGCAAUGUUAUUAUUAUUAUCAACUCUUUUAAAAUACUACUUAUCUGAAAUUAUUUUAUGAAUUUUUUUUUACUUAAUUCAAAAAUAUAACUUUCAACAACGGAUCUCUUGGCUCUCGCAUCGAUGAAGAACGCAGC
This 269-nucleotide unclassified non-coding RNA is filed under the name uncultured fungus. RNAcentral describes it as "partial contains small subunit ribosomal RNA, internal transcribed spacer 1, and 5.8S ribosomal RNA". The stretch from base 1 to 73 matches the Rfam family "Eukaryotic small subunit ribosomal RNA", at positions 1759 to 1831 of the family's 1831-position model. Lineage: Eukaryota; Fungi. The record is from RNAcentral.